Molecule: ribosomal RNA, 252 nt
Filed under: uncultured bacterium
Lineage: Bacteria
Description: partial 16S ribosomal RNA
Rfam family: Bacterial small subunit ribosomal RNA
Source: RNAcentral
GACAGAGGGUGCAAACGUUGCUCGGAAUCAUUGGGCGUAAAGCGCACGUAGGCGGCCUGUUAAGUCGGAUGUGAAAUCCCUGGGCUCAACCCAGGAAGUGCAUUCGAAACUGGCGGGCUUGAAUAUGGAAGAGGGUCGCGGAAUUCCCGGUGUAGAGGUGAAAUUCGUAGAUAUCGUGAGGAACACCGGUGGCGAAGGCGGCGACCUGGGCCAAUAUUGACGCUGAGGUGCUAAAGCGUGGGGAGCAAACAG